UCGUGUCGUGAGAUGUUGGUUAAGUCCCGCAACGAGCGCAACCCCUAUUGUUAGUUGCCAUCAUUCAGUUGGGCACUCUAGCGAGACUGCCGGUAAUAAACCGGAGGAAGGUGGGGAUGACGUCAAAUCAUCAUGCCCCUUAUGACCUGGGCUACACACGUGCUACAAUGGUUGGUACAACGAGUUGCGAGUCGGUGACGGCGAGCUAAUCUCUUAAAGGCCAAUCUCAGUUCGGAUUGUAGGCUGCAACUCGCCUACAUGAAGUCGGAAUCGCUAGUAAUCGCGGAUCAGCACGCCGCGGUGAAUACGUUCCCGGGCCUU
This 321-nucleotide ribosomal RNA is filed under the name uncultured Streptococcus sp. RNAcentral's name for it is "bacterial SSU rRNA". It matches the Rfam family "Bacterial small subunit ribosomal RNA", at positions 1060 to 1382 of the family's 1533-position model. The record is from RNAcentral. Lineage: Bacteria; Bacillati; Bacillota; Bacilli; Lactobacillales; Streptococcaceae.